RNAcentral lists this ribosomal RNA (495 nucleotides) under uncultured bacterium. Its description in RNAcentral is "partial 16S ribosomal RNA". It matches the Rfam family "Bacterial small subunit ribosomal RNA", at positions 28 to 507 of the family's 1533-position model. The record is from RNAcentral.
GACGAACGCUGGCGGCGUGCCUAAUACGUGCAAGUAGAACGCUGAAGGAGGAGCUUGCUUCUCUGGAUGAGUUGCGAACGGGUGAGUAACGCGUAGGUAACCUGCCUGGUAGCGGGGGAUAACUAUUGGAAACGAUAGCUAAUACCGCAUAAGAGUAGAUGUUGCAUGACAUUUGCUUAAAAGGUGCAAUUGCAUCACUACCAGAUGGACCUGCGUUGUAUUAGCUAGUUGGUGGGGUAACGGCUUACCAAGGCGACGAUACAUAGCCGACCUGAGAGGGUGAUCGGCCACACUGGGACUGAGACACGGCCCAGACUCCUACGGGAGGCAGCAGUAGGGAAUCUUCGGCAAUGGACGGAAGUCUGACCGAGCAACGCCGCGUGAGUGAAGAAGGUUUUCGGAUCGUAAAGCUCUGUUGUAAGAGAAGAACGAGUGUGAGAGUGGAAAGUUCACACUGUGACGGUAUCUUACCAGAAAGGGACGGCUAACUACGUG